This is a non-coding RNA of Lonchura striata (white-rumped munia), 332 nucleotides long. NCBI's taxonomy places the organism in Eukaryota, Metazoa, Chordata, Aves, Passeriformes, Estrildidae. The record is from RefSeq and is a predicted model, not a curated record.
AUGUGUUACCUUGGAAGAACUCUGAUCUCCUGCUUACAGAAGAGGUUUUCUACUGGUGCUAGACAAGCUGCAGAAUCCGAAGUAGCUGGUGGCCUGCACUGCUCCUAACAGGAGGUCUCUGUCCUAUUUGCAGAGACAGGUAGAGUGUGCCAAUGCCCACCAGUCACAAGCUCCUGCAUCUUGACUUCUCCUUAUCCCUGGGUACCUGAAAGGAUGUGGUUACAGACUAGGCUCCUUAAUGUGUGUGCUCUUGCUUUCUAUGUGCAGGCACUUCAAUGGAAAAGGUUAACAUUUUUCCUAUCACUUUUUUUCUGAAUAAAAUAAUGCAACAC